GAUGACACUGCAAGAGAGAAGAUGACUCGUCCAGUGUUGCUCAUAAUUCGAGGAUGUCAAGGAUGAACUCAUUCUAUGAUCAGUUACGCACUCGUAAUUUCUUUGAAGAGUUUCCCUUCUUGCUGAGAAUGCAAGGUUAAUGGCACCGAUGAAGAAGAAUCAUUUUUAUAACAUCGGCAACUGUCUUGCACCCUCGCAAUCUUUUUCACUCGGAGAAGCAUAAGAGCUGAAGCACAAUGACCUACAAGUGUCUUCAACACUUCACCUAGCUUGAAGAUAUGGAAAUUGCUGACUGCUUGUAGCUCUAGUCACUACAAAAAGAAUUGAUCGCGACCUCCGGGCUCCCAUUAUGCAUGAAAAAUGUGGUGUUCAUUGCUCGCAUUACUACAUAAUAGGAGAAAGGGAGGGGAACGGUUGGCCCGAAGGUUCAACAAUUGUUGCAAAAUCAACAAUUUUUCAAUUUUUGAGAUGAUAUUCUUCUUCCUUUUUCGGUUCAUUCCUCCAUAGUCACUUUUUACAUUGGAUCAUAAAAUUCUCUGCCUUUUUGUAUACAAUUAACAGUAAGGGCUCAUUGUCUACAACUAAUGUGAUGGCUCUGAAAGUACUAUAACUGUCUUGUUAUCCGCUGGAGGGAGGUGGUUGGCAAGCUCAGUAGGGCUUGAAGCAGCUUGAAUGGGUAUUUCAGCUGUGUACAUCUGUAUCUAUAAACUUAACUUUUGGAAAAUUUCUGAUUUUAGCAAGUAUGUGGAGGUGGAUUUUUUUUCUA
Long non-coding RNA from Coffea eugenioides, 766 nucleotides. RefSeq lists it as uncharacterized. The record is from RefSeq and is a predicted model, not a curated record. The transcript has 2 exons. Lineage: Eukaryota; Viridiplantae; Streptophyta; Magnoliopsida; Gentianales; Rubiaceae.